UGGGCUCUUCCGAUCUGGAGAUCUUUACUCAAAAUCGAGUUUUGUUGGGUUGCGUGCUGCCAUACACAGGCACAUCAGGGGACCGCCAUUUGAGCGCAGCAUAAACAUAAUCCAAGUCCGGGAAUUUCACACUGCAAACAAUGUUUUUCUGUCCAUGAU
This is a long non-coding RNA of Haliotis rufescens (red abalone), 159 nucleotides long. RefSeq lists it as uncharacterized. The record is from RefSeq and is a predicted model, not a curated record. Lineage: Eukaryota; Metazoa; Mollusca; Gastropoda; Lepetellida; Haliotidae. The transcript has 3 exons.